This is a non-coding RNA of Podarcis muralis (Common wall lizard), 833 nucleotides long. NCBI's taxonomy places the organism in Eukaryota, Metazoa, Chordata, Lepidosauria, Squamata, Lacertidae. The record is from RefSeq and is a predicted model, not a curated record.
CUCGACGGUUGAGAAAGAAUCAUUGGACAUUGUGGCGGAUGCCUUAUCACGAAAACCAGAGAAUGAAGGAUGAACAAAGACAAUCAACCAUUUGCUUGUUUAUGAAGCCUGCCAUAAAUAUGAUCCCAAUGACCACCUCGCAUCUCUGUGUGAUGCAGAAGACCUGCGCUUGUUAGCUCUCCACCUUUCAGCUUCACAAGUGCAACACGUUUGGAUCGGGCUAUCUGACCAAGAUAAGGAUGGAAAAUGGGAGUGGUCAGAUGGAUCUGAAGCCCCCUUCAUGCCUUGGGGUGAGGGGGAACCUGAUGAUUCUGGCGUCAAGUUUUGUGUCUUCUUGUCUCGCCAAGAUGGUUUUCAGAAAUUUAGAACUGGCCGUUGCCCAUACGUUGUGCCCUACGUUUGUGAGCAUAAGCCAAAGUGUUGGGGUCCGUGACCUCAUCCCUGCCCCUGGAUGACUCCAUCAAACCCAAGAGGCUUCCAUCCCACUUAGUUGCUGAGGUCCCCCAGCCCUGCCUUUCCAGCUGUACCUUUUUAGCGCCCCACUAGAUCAUGGUCCACUUACUGCUCUCACAAUGGCCAACUAGAUGUUCCCAUGGGAAUCCUAGAAGUAGGACUGAGUGCAAGAGCACCUUCCCCUGUGAGCCAAGGAUGAACGAUCUCUGUAGACCUUCAGAUGGAACAAAGCUGUGUCAUCCCAGACCAUUGCCCUGCUGGUGGCAUUUGUGCCCUUUGGGGUUCCUUAUAAGUCAGCAGGGGAUGUGGGUGGCGCUGUGGGUUAAACCACACAGCCUAGGACUUGCCGAUCAGAAGGUUGGCGGUUCGAAUCCCCGCGA